This 284-nucleotide unclassified non-coding RNA is filed under the name air metagenome. RNAcentral describes it as "partial contains small subunit ribosomal RNA, internal transcribed spacer 1, and 5.8S ribosomal RNA". The stretch from base 1 to 46 matches the Rfam family "Eukaryotic small subunit ribosomal RNA", at positions 1786 to 1831 of the family's 1831-position model. The record is from RNAcentral.
AAGUCGUAACAAGGUUUCCGUAGGUGAACCUGCGGAAGGAUCAUUAAUGAAAUUAUAAUCCGGCGAGGGAAAGGCGGAGAGCUGUAGCUGGCCCCCUGGGGGCAUGUGCACGCUCUCUUCCGGACUUUUCGCCGUAUGGGCGCGGGGCGACCCGCGUCUUCAUAUACCUCUUCGUGUAGAAAGUCUUUGAAUGUUAUCAUCAUCAUCGAGUCGCGACUUCUAGGAGACGCGAUUCUUUGAGACAAAAGUUAUUACAACUUUCAGCAACGGAUCUCUUGGCUCUC